UACCAGCUCUCCGAGUGGUAGGGAUGAUUAUUGGGCUUAAAGCGUCCGUAGCCGGCUUAGUAAGUCUCCUGUUAAAUUCAGCGACCUAAUCGUUGAGCCGCGGGAGAUACUACUAGGCUAGGAGGCGGGAGAGGUCAACGGUACUUCCGGGGUAGGGGUGAAAUCCUAUAAUCCCGGGAGGACCACCAGUGGCGAAGGCUGUUGACUAGAACGCGCUCGACGGUGAGGGACGAAAGCUGGUGGAGCGAACCGGAUUAGAUACCCGGGUAGUCCCAGCUGUAAACGAUGCGAGCUAGGUGUUGGGGUGGCUACGUGCCACUUCAGUGCCGCAGGGAAGCCAUUAAGCUCGCCGCCUGGGGAGUACGGCCGCAAGGCUGAAACUUAAAGGAAUUGGCGGGGGAGCACCACAAGGCGUGAAGCUUGCGGUUC
This 429-nucleotide ribosomal RNA is filed under the name uncultured archaeon. RNAcentral's name for it is "bacterial SSU rRNA". It matches the Rfam family "Archaeal small subunit ribosomal RNA", at positions 474 to 903 of the family's 1478-position model. The record is from RNAcentral.